RNAcentral lists this long non-coding RNA (455 nucleotides) under Ananas comosus (pineapple). RNAcentral's name for it is "long non-coding RNA (ACOM_LNC001473)". Lineage: Eukaryota; Viridiplantae; Streptophyta; Magnoliopsida; Poales; Bromeliaceae. The record is from RNAcentral.
AUUGGGAGAGUCAAACUUAUGACAUAUUUGGUUCAUAAUUGAACAAAAAUUAGAAGUAGAACUGGAUCGUAUUAAUUGGAAUAAAAAAUAGAAUGAUAAAUCAUCCAAAAUUAUUUGUUUAUCAUUGAAAUGAAAAUCAAAUGAACAUUUAGAAUAUUGAGAGAGUGUUUUGGUUAAAGAGAAAUUAAGGAGGUGAUGAAGGGAGAGGAGGAAAAAGUGUUUUUGAGAGAAAGUUUUGAGUGAUUUACUUUGUAACGAGCCAAUUCAGAAUUCAAAAUUAAAUUGAAAUAUAAAUAGAUUGAGUUAUUUUCAUUAUAAAAUACAAUCAAAAUUGAAAUUCGAUUUCUGUAAAACAAACAACCAUUAUUAGAAUCAAUAAAUUUCGUUCCGAUUUCAUAAUUGAAAACAGGUGAACCAAACAAGUCCUUAGUUUACACAGCUUUUUGAAUGACAGA